AUCGAACGAACUCUUCGGAGUUAGUGGCGGACGGGUGAGUAACACGUGGGAACGUGCCUUUAGGUUCGGAAUAACUCAGGGAAACUUGUGCUAAUACCGAAUGUGCCCUUCGGGGGAAAGAUUUAUCGCCUUUAGAGCGGCCCGCGUCUGAUUAGCUAGUUGGUGAGGUAAAGGCUCACCAAGGCGACGAUCAGUAGCUGGUCUGAGAGGAUGAUCAGCCACAUUGGGACUGAGACACGGCCCAAACUCCUACGGGAGGCAGCAGUGGGGAAUCUUGCGCAAUGGGCGAAAGCCUGACGCAGCCAUGCCGCGUGAAUGAUGAAGGUCUUAGGAUUGUAAAAUUCUUUCACCGGGGACGAUAAUGACGGUACCCGGAGAAGAAGCCCCGGCUAACUUCGUGCCAGCAGCCGCGGUAAUACGAAGGGGGCUAGCGUUGCUCGGAAUUACUGGGCGUAAAGGGAGCGUAGGCGGACAUUUAAGUCAGGGGUGAAAUCCCGGGGCUCAACCUCGGAAUUGCCUUUGAUACUGGGUGUCUUGAGUAUGAGAGAGGUGUGUGGAACUCCGAGUGUAGAGGUGAAAUUCGUAGAUAUUCGGAAGAACACCAGUGGCGAAGGCGACACACUGGCUCAUUACUGACGCUGAGGCUCGAAAGCGUGGGGAGCAAACAGGAUUAGAUACCCUGGUAGUCCACGCCGUAAACGAUGAUUGCUAGUUGUCG
RNAcentral lists this ribosomal RNA (718 nucleotides) under Caulobacteraceae bacterium. RNAcentral's name for it is "bacterial SSU rRNA". It matches the Rfam family "Bacterial small subunit ribosomal RNA", at positions 61 to 825 of the family's 1533-position model. The record is from RNAcentral. Lineage: Bacteria; Pseudomonadati; Pseudomonadota; Alphaproteobacteria; Caulobacterales; Caulobacteraceae.